Molecule: ribosomal RNA, 404 nt
Filed under: uncultured Bacteroidota bacterium
Lineage: Bacteria; Pseudomonadati; Bacteroidota
Description: bacterial SSU rRNA
Rfam family: Bacterial small subunit ribosomal RNA
Source: RNAcentral
AUGCUGACGAGUGGCGGCACGGGUGAGUAACGCGUAUGCAAUCUACCUUUAACUGAGGAAUAGCCCAAGAGAAAUUUGGAUUAAUACCUCAUAACAUUAUUUAUAGGCAUCUAUUUAUAAUUAAAACUCCGGUGGUUAAAGAUGAGCAUGCGUCCUAUUAGUUAGUUGGUAAGGUAAAAGCUUACCAAGACAACGAUAGGUAGGGGGCCUGAGAGGGUGAUCCCCCACACUGGUACUGAGACACGGACCAGACUCCUACGGGAGGCAGCAGUGAGGAAUAUUGCACAAUGGAGGAAACUCUGAUGCAGCCAUGCCGCGUGCAGGAUGAAUGCCCUAUGGGUUGUAAACUGCUUUUCUGCAAGAAGAAACCUUAGUACGUGUACUAAGCUGACGGUACUGCAGGA